UAAUCUUUGUUGAGGGGACUACCAUCUAAACCACCAAGGGUAAGGAUGGCCCUAGUAGUAGGAUAAUCUUUGAGAGCAUGGAUGAGACAAUGUGGGUCAUUUUUUAUUUAAUCGGAAAAAUUUAAAUAAUGUGGUAAUUGUAAGGGCCCGAUUUUGUCCGGGCCCUAAACAGAAAAUAAAAAUAAAAAUAAAAAUUAACAGUCCUAAAGUCCAUUUACAAAAAAAAAAUCAGGCCCAAACAGCCCAAAUCAAUAACCUAAAGCCCGAUAGCCCCC
RNAcentral lists this long non-coding RNA (275 nucleotides) under Gossypium raimondii (Peruvian cotton). Its description in RNAcentral is "long non-coding RNA (GRAI_LNC003438)". The record is from RNAcentral. Lineage: Eukaryota; Viridiplantae; Streptophyta; Magnoliopsida; Malvales; Malvaceae.